This 253-nucleotide ribosomal RNA is filed under the name uncultured bacterium. RNAcentral's name for it is "partial 16S ribosomal RNA". It matches the Rfam family "Bacterial small subunit ribosomal RNA", at positions 524 to 776 of the family's 1533-position model. The record is from RNAcentral.
UACAGAGGUCUCAAGCGUUGUUCGGAUUCAUUGGGCGUAAAGGGUGCGUAGGCGGCGCGGUAAGUCGGGUGUGAAAUCUUGGAGCUUAACUCCGAAACUGCAUUCGAUACUGCCGUGCUUGAGGACUGGAGAGGAGACUGGAAUUUACGGUGUAGCGGUGAAAUGCGUAGAUAUCAAAAAAAACACCAAUAACAAAAACAACCUUCUGGCUCGCAACUGACACUGUAGCGCGAAAGCAUGGGGAGCGAACAAG